RNAcentral lists this ribosomal RNA (1217 nucleotides) under metagenome. RNAcentral's name for it is "bacterial SSU rRNA". It matches the Rfam family "Archaeal small subunit ribosomal RNA", at positions 217 to 1445 of the family's 1478-position model. The record is from RNAcentral.
GCGACCGAUCAGGUAGUUGGUGAGGCAAUGGCUCACCAAGCCUUUUACCGGUGCGGGCCGUGAGAGCGGGAGCCCGGUGAUGGGCACUGAGACAAGGGCCCAGGCCCCACGGGGCGCAGCAGUCGCGAAAAUUUUGCAAUACACGAAAGUGUGACAGAGCUAUCCCGAGUGCCAUCCGCUGAGGAAGGCUUUUACUCAGUAUAAAUAGCUGGGAGAAUAAGGAGAGGGCAAGUCUGGUGUCAGCCGCCGCGGUAAUACCAGCUCUCCGAGUAGUGUGGACGUUUAUUGGGCCUAAAGCAUCCGUAGCUUGCUAGAUAAGUCCUCUGUUAAAUCCACCGAUUCAAUCGUUGGAUUGCGGGGGAUACUGUUUGGCUAGGGGACGGGAGAGGUCGACGGUAUUUCCGGGGUAGGGGUGAAAUCCUAUAAUCCCGGGAGGACCACCAGUGGCGAAGGCUGUCGACUAGAACGCGCCCGACGGUGAGGGAUGAAAGCUGGGGGAGCGAACCGGAUUAGAUACCCGGGUAGUCCCAGCUGUAAACGAUGCAGGCUAGGUGUUUGGGCGGCCACGAGCCGCCCUAGUGCCGCAGGGAAGCUGUUAAGCCUGCCGCCUGGGGAGUACGGCCGCAAGGCUGAAACUUAAAGGAAUUGGCGGGGGAGCACCACAAGGGGUGAAGCUUGCGGUUUAAUUGGCCAACGCCGGAAAUCUCACCGGGAUCGACAGCAGUAUGAAGGCCAGAUUAAAGGUCUUGCUAGACGAGCUGAGAGGAGGUGCAUGGCCGUCGCCAGUUCGUGCCGUGAGGUGUCCUGUUAAGUCAGGCAACGAUCGAGACCCGCGUCCUCUGUUGCUACUGGUUUUGUGCCAGGCACACUGAGGAGACCGCCGCUGAUAAAGCGGAGGAAGGAGCGGGCCACGGCAGGUCAGUAUGCCCCGAAUAUCCCGGGCCACACGCGAGCUGCAAUGGCAGGUACAAUGAGUUCCGACCUCGUAAGGGGAAGGCAAUCUCGAAAGCCUGCCGUAGUUGGGAUCGAGGGUUGAAACUCACCCUCGUGAACAUGGAAUCCCUAGUAAUCGCGUGUCACUAGCGCGCGGUGAAUACGUCCCUGCUCCUUGCACACACCGCCCGUCGUUCCACCCGAGCGACUCCUGGGUGAGGCGUGGUCUUCCUUGGCUGCGUCGAAUCUGGGUUUCGCAAGGGGGGAAAAGUCGUAACAAGGUG